Molecule: long non-coding RNA, 496 nt
Organism: Coregonus clupeaformis (lake whitefish)
Lineage: Eukaryota; Metazoa; Chordata; Actinopteri; Salmoniformes; Salmonidae
Exons: 3
Source: RefSeq, a predicted model, not a curated record
UUUUAGAUAAUAAUGAAUAAAAAUAUAUUGACUGGGGGGAACUGACCCUAGAUGAGCACUCCUACUCUUCAAUGCUUUGUGAAUAUGGGCCCUGGUGUAAUGUGUGAUCUUAGGCAUGCUCCCACUAAUCCCCCCUUCUUUCUCUGUCUGUGUCUCUUCUCCCAGAGGCCCUGGUCGUGCUGCUGUUCCGACUGCAGCUGUGGACCCCUGGCCUGAUUUCACCAGGCUUGCUACCUUGUCCCGGACCCCUGCUGAUCACGCUCAGCCAGCUUGGUGGGUGGCCCAGGAGCAUUCUCUGUGCACCUUGACCUGUAUAAGCUGCCUACAUCUUGCCAGCCCCUCAUAUCAGUGACUCUCCAAAUGCUAUGUUGAACGAGCACCACAGAUGAAGGAGGGGGAGGAAAACAGACAGCUUCUCUCUACCAACCUUCACCAAGUCAUCAUCCAAUGUUUGCUUCAUGAACAAUUGUUGCAUCUUUGAAAUUAAAUAUAUAAU